AUUGAACGCUGGCGGCAAGCCUAACACAUGCAAGUCGAACGAGUGGCGGACGGGUGAGUAAUGUAUGGGAAACUGCCUGAUGGAGGGGGAUAACUAAUGGAAACGGUAGCUAAUACCGCAUACCAUCGGAUGUGCCCAGAUGGGAUGAGCUAGGUGGUGGGGUAAAGGCUCACCUAGGCGACGAUCCCGAGCGGGUCUGAGAGGAUGACCAGACACACGUGUACUGAGACACGGCCCAGACUCCUACGGGAGGCAGCAGGGGGGAAUAUUGCACAAUGGGCGCAAGCCUGAUGCAGCCAUGCCGCGUGUAUGAAGAAGGCCUUCGGGUUGUAAAGUACUUUCAGCGGGGAGGCGUUACCCGCAGAAGAAGCACCGGCUAACUCCGUGCCAGCAGCCGCGGUAAUUC
This 406-nucleotide ribosomal RNA is filed under the name uncultured bacterium. Its description in RNAcentral is "partial 16S ribosomal RNA". It matches the Rfam family "Bacterial small subunit ribosomal RNA", at positions 29 to 526 of the family's 1533-position model. The record is from RNAcentral.